RNAcentral lists this ribosomal RNA (1098 nucleotides) under uncultured organism. Its description in RNAcentral is "bacterial SSU rRNA". It matches the Rfam family "Bacterial small subunit ribosomal RNA", at positions 199 to 1330 of the family's 1533-position model. The record is from RNAcentral.
GACUAAAACUUCGGUGCCUCAAGAGGGUGCUGCGGGCUAUCAGCUUGUUGGUGGGGUAAUGGCCUACCAAGGCUAAGACGGCUAGGGGGCGUGAGAGCGCGACCCCCCACAAUGGAACUGAGACACGGUCCAUACUCCUACGGGAGGCAGCAGUGAGGAAUAUUGCGCAAUGGGGGAAACCCUGACGCAGCAACGCCGCGUGAACGAUGAAGGCCUUCGGGUCGUAAAGUUCUUUUCUAAGGGAAGAUAGUGACGGUACCUUAGGAAUAAGUCCCGGCUAACUACGUGCCAGCAGCCGCGGUAAAACGUAGGGGGCGAGCGUUAUCCGGAUUUAUUGGGCGUAAAGCGCACGUAGGUGGCGCUGUAAGUUAGACGUGAAAGCUCUCGGCUCAACUGAGAGAGGUCGUUUAAAACUGCAGUGCUUGAGGUUAGAAGAGGAGAGCAGAAUUCCCGGUGUAGUGGUGGAAUGCGUAGAUAUCGGGAGGAAUACCAGUGGCGAAGGCGGCUCUCUAGUCUACACCUGACACUGAGGUGCGAAAGCGUGGGUAGCGAACGGGAUUAGAUACCCCGGUAGUCCACGCUGUAAACGAUGGAUACUAGGUGUAGGGGGUCAUUUAACCCCUCUGUGCCGAAGCAAACGCGUUAAGUAUCCCGCCUGGGGACUACGGCCGCAAGGUUAAAACUCAAAGGAAUUGACGGGGGCCCGCACAAGCAGCGGAGCGUGUGGUUUAAUUCGAUGAUACGCGAAGAACCUUACCUGGGCUGAACUACGUGGUAGUAGUGAAGCGAAAGCGGAUCGACCCUUCGGGGAGCCUCGAUAGGUGCUGCAUGGCUGUCGUCAGCUCGUGUCGUGAGAUGUUGGGUUAAGUCCCGCAACGAGCGCAACCCUCGUCGCUAGUUACAAGUGUCUAGCGAGACUGCCGGUAUCAAACCGGAGGAAGGUGGGGAUGACGUCAAGUCAGCAUGGUCUUUAUGUCCAGGGCUACACACACGCUACAAUGGUCGGUACAAUAGGUUGCCACACCGCGAGGUGGAGCUAAUCCUCAAAGCCGAUCUCAGUUCGGAUUGUAGUCUGCAACUCGACUACAUGAAGGCGGA